ACCCAGUUUCGAUCCCUGGGUCGGGAAGAUCCUCUGGAGAAGGAAAUGGCAACCCACUCCAGUAUUCAUGCCUGGAGAACCCCAAGGACAGAGGAGCCUGAUAGGCUGCAGUCCAUGGAGUCGCAAAGAGUCGGACACGACAGCAUGCACAUUAAUCACCUUGCCUAGGCUUAAAAGCAAACCCACCGCGGUACAGGUUAGACCCUCCCCCCGCCAAAAUCCUGAGGAGAGAUGGCUUCGGGAGUGAACUCAGAGGAGGGCAGGGCGGGCGGAAGCUGGAGCCUCAGCUCAGAGUUCAGGGGGGUUGACAUGAGCUAAGAGUUCAGACUUGGCUGCUUGGGACGGGCUGGAACAGGCAGAGGAGGAAGGGGAGAUUCCUGGCCGAGCAAAGGUUAGUAAGGAGAGCAAUAGGCAGGUGAGAAGGGCCGCUUAACUGCUGGCGCCUGUCAAGGCCAAUUAACUUCCCUCCCUGGCUUGUCCAGCAGCCACGCCUCACCCCCACCCAGCUGUUGCACGGGGUUGCGCUGCCAGCCUGUAACUUCUUCCAGGCUACAGUGAGCAGAGGCCUGCUGCCAACCUCCCUGACACGGGGCCAGGGAGCCGUCUCACCUUUGAUCAACUCUAGGCUCCCUACCUGCCCCUCUGAGUCUCCUUGCCCUCAACCUCACCCCUCCUCGCCUGACCAUAAUCCUGAGAGCCCACAGUUCAGUAGUCCUGCAACCAAACCUCACCACAGGUUGUCCUUCCUGCCACGGAGCUAAUUCCCUGACCUGCAUGGGCGGAAUGUGGGCCAAGUUGUUUUUCUGGCAGAUUCAGGCGGACCCACCCUUUGCUGUCGUGGCCCCUGGACAGGACUGAUCCAGGAGGUGGUGAAGGAGCCCUUUAAUUCCUCAGAGGUGUGGGGAUAACAAAUGGAGGCUGAGGACAAGACCAAGCGCAUGUGGUCUGCAUGGCCCAGCAGAAUUUUGCUAACGCUUGAUAUUCCCUCCUUCCUCUGCUUUCUAGAUGGCAGUCCCUCCUCCUUCCUUUCUCAGCCUCAGAGCUCCACCUUCCCUCGGCCCAGAGAUAAGCUCUCUCAGAGAAUCAGGCUGUGGUGAUAACUGUUUGGGGAGUCACCCCCACAAGGCAUUUUCAACCGCUGACCCUUAAGCUAUGACCCCACAAGUGUGGAUUCCAGAGCUGAGACCAGUGCUGGGGG
Bos taurus (domestic cattle) is the source of this 1198-nucleotide long non-coding RNA. The record is from Ensembl. NCBI's taxonomy places the organism in Eukaryota, Metazoa, Chordata, Mammalia, Artiodactyla, Bovidae.